GCAAGUCGAGCGCGCCCUUCGGGGUGAGCGGCGGACGGGUGAGUAACGCGUGGGAACGUGCCCUUUGCUGCGGAAUAGCCACUGGAAACGGCGAGUAAUACCGCAUGAGCCCUUCGGGGGAAAGAUUUAUCGGCAAGGGAUCGGCCCGCGUUGGAUUAGGUAGUUGGUGGGGUAAUGGCCUACCAAGCCGACGAUCCAUAGCUGGUUUCAGAGGAUGAUCAGCCACACUGGGACUGAGACACGGCCCAGACUCCUACGGGAGGCAGCAGUGGGGAAUCUUAGACAAUGGGCGCAAGCCUGAUCUAGCCAUGCCGCGUGAGUGACGAAGGCCCUAGGGUCGUAAAGCUCCUUCGCCUGUGAAGAUAAUGACGGUAGCAGGUAAAGAAACCCCGGCUAACUCUGUGCCAGCAGCCACGGUAAUACGGAGGGGGUUAGCGUUGUUCGGAAUUACUGGGCGUAAGGCGCGCGUAGGCGGACCAUCAAGUUGGGGGUGAAAUCCCGGGGCUCAACCCCGGAACUGCCUCCAAAACUGGCGGUCUGGAGUUCGAGAGAGGUGAGUGGAAUUCCGAGUGUAGAGGUGAAAUUCGUAGAUAUUCGGAGGAACACCAGUGGCGAAGGCGGCUCACUGGCUCGAUACUGACGCUGAGGUGCGAAAGUGUGGGGAGCAAACAGGAUUAGAUACCCUGGUAGUCCACACCGUAAACGAUGAAUGCCAGUCGUCGGCAAGCAUGCUUGUCGGUGACACACCUAACGGAUUAAGCAUUCCGCCUGGGGAGUACGGCCGCAAGGUUACAACUCAAAUGAAUUGACGGAA
Molecule: ribosomal RNA, 814 nt
Filed under: uncultured bacterium
Lineage: Bacteria
Description: bacterial SSU rRNA
Rfam family: Bacterial small subunit ribosomal RNA
Source: RNAcentral